GAUAAAGUUAUAUGUUCUUAAUUCAAAAAUGGGCAAAUUAAAGUUAAGAGCAAUGUAACUAUAUCAUUGUACAAUUUAAUAUACAACGGUGGGGAAGGAACAAGUUAUUUUGUAUCUCAAACUAAAAAUAUCUAAUGAUGUCUCUCCUAAUCAUGUCAAAUAGAUUCUACCUUUCAAUAAUCUUCAAAUUGCCUCCAGGUAACCAUACUCCAAUAACACCAGUAAUCAUCCAAUAGUAAUCAUAAAUUACCUCCUUCCUGUUAACUACUAGGUCAAGAAACACAUAUCAAUGAGAAAAAAAAUAUAUCAGUAAGCAAAAGGUUUGUAUGUCUACACUUAAUCUUUGUAAUAGCCUUAAAAAAUAAUAGGAAAUCAACCACAAAUCUCUCCAUGAGGAUGAGGCUCAUCUUUUGAAGUAUAACUCAAUUCAAGAACAUCUACAAGUUUUAUCUCUAAAAAUAGCAGUGUCAUAGACAAGUUAAACUCAAUUACAAUUUUAUUUGGCAAUCAUUAAGUUUACUGGGAAGCAAAUGCAAUCAAGGAGCAGGAACCAACAAAAAGAAAGUUGAAAUAAACCAUGAGACUUAAUAGUAUGUCCACAUCCAUGCACAUUUCCAUUUGAAUUGCAGUAUAUCAUAUAAACCAAAUUAUUAAUAUGUGUUGUUGAUAAAAUCAGAACGACUAAGCACUUCGCUUAGAAUCACACAACAUAAUCAUUAGAAAUGGGAAUACGGUGGCAACAAAAUCUAAGAAAACAACAACAUAUAUAGUAUAGUCCCACAAAAUGGAGUCUCAAAAAAAUACAAUGUACACAAUCGUUACCCGUAUUUCAGAUGCUAAGAGUUUUUUUCCGAUAGACCCUCAGCUAAAGAAAAACAUUCCUAAGAAGUUUCGAGAAAAGUUAUGGGAGUGAAAAAGAAAGCAGAUAAUUAUGCAAAGGAUCAGAUAGUAACAAAACAGUACGAUAAUUUAGGUAAAAGAAACCGAAGGACAAGAAACUACAAUGUUACAUAAACAAGGCUCGAAUAAAUCUCAAGAUUCACUAAAAAAACUCGAGUAUCACAGCACAAUAAAUGAUACUGUGAAUUGCAAAUCAAAACCAUGUUCAUUAGAGUCAGCAUAUAAUUGAUAUAUAAAUAACAAAUAUAAACAUUACUAUUUUGUAUGAGAAUUACAACACAAUACUAGAAAGUUUUGUAGAUGAAUUAUACUAUUUUCAGUAGAAUCAUAACCAUAUGGAAAAAUAAAUCAACAUGGAUGAUUACCAAGCUAAUCAAACCACCAACAGUCAGAACAAUAACAAGAAAGAAAAACCCAAUUAACAACACAUUAGACCACUAUAGAUAUAAAUUACAUAAUAUCUACAUAGAUUCUUCAAUACAAAAAAGAAAAGUACAACGCAUGCUUGAAAAAUCUUUAAACACACCAAAUUUUGGUAACUUAAUGUAAUACCCCAGAAAAUUUUUCAUUGAAAUUUUUUGCAUAAACGUGUUGGGUUCUAUCUUCUAGAAUGAAUUAUAAAUUUUCCUUGUGAAAUGUCUUAGAUUAUGACCUACCACUGCGUAGAGUAUCAAAUAAGAUUUCCAACGAUAUGUGGAUUAUCCAAAACGGACACUCGAGCGACGAGUUAUGAACAUUCCGAUCGAACCGUGAAUAGUAGUGAACAGUAAAACGUGCAGGAAAAAGUACUGAGGCCUGGCGUAUUUUUGCUCCAACUUUAAACAAUCAUAACUCCUUGUACAUAAUGAUAUGGGUGAUAUACUAUAUAACAACGGAAAGCUCUGCGAGUCCUCUUUCUCCAAUUUGUCUAUUGGAGCAAAGAGUUAUGGUCGAUCUACUUCAGCCUAUCAAAAGCGAAUUUUUGGGUCAACCUCAAACGAUCAUAACUCCUUGUACAUAAUUAUCUGGGUGAGAUACUAUAUAUCAACGGAAAUAUAUGAGAACCGUCUUUCUAAUGAAAUUGGUUUCAUCCAAUUUGAAUAUCGGAGUAAAAUGUUUUGGUUGAUCUACUUUAGACUAUCAAAACAGUCCACCAAAGGAAAGAUUCAAGAAUUAUUUGAUUUUGUAGGGGUAUUUUGUCCAUUCCCCCUCACCCAAAAUCCAUCCAAACCCUAUAUUAAAGCCUAUUAGAAGCAUUAUAUAUUAUAUUUCAUCAAAUUCCUCAAAAAGAAAACCCUAAGCUCGUACAUCAAACUUCAAGAACCUCCAAAGUUCACCAUUAAUUCUGCAAAUUUAUUCAAGAUUCCAAGUUCCUAGUUCAAGAAAUUCAAGAACCACCAAAGUUCAUCAUUAAUUCUGCAAAUUUAUCAAGAUUCCAAGUUCCUGGUUCAAGAACUCCAAGAACCAUUAUUCAAAGGCACAAUUAACAUCUCAAAAAUGAGUAUCGAUCUAAAGUUCAUCAUUCAAGGUAUGUGGGGUUUUUCAACAAGAACUCUCUUUCAUUCUUGUGCGCAAAAGUAAUUUUCUUUACAAAGGCAUGAUUUUUAUUUGAUUUUUAUGAAUUUGAAGCAUGAACCCAUAUCUUAUGAUGAUUAUUAUGAAAUCUUGAUGUUUAUGAUUUUGAAAAAUGAAUUUACAUGUGUGAUGAUAUAAAGCAUAAAUCUUGAAUGAUAUUUAUCAUGAUUUUGAUAUUUGGGUCGUGAAUCCCCAUUGGAAAUUGUGUUUUUUUGAGAAAGUGUGUGUUAUAAGCACGUUAAUGUUGAAUAUUUGAGAUAUUUUGAAUGAUUUGACCUUUCGAUCUUAAUGGAGUAUUUUUGAACUCGAGUGUUAAAGAAAUCCACAACGUAGUUGAUUUUGAUAGAUGGGAAGCAUGAUGGCUGCCAAUGUAUAUUUAUAUAUUUCUGAAAUUGUUUUUUUGUGGAUUGUCUUUAAAAUGAUCUAAGCUAAGUCCGGGACAAAUCUUUAGCACCGAGUGGGAGGUAUAAAGCAACCUUACUUCCCUAGAACUACAUGCCCCCGUAGGAGUGAGCCUGAGACUGAUUUAUAUGGUGAUCACUAGUUUGUGUGGAUUUGAUAUCGAUAGUCCUACUCCGAUGACAAAGAUAGGAUGGCUCUCCCCAACGUGGGUUGUACGUUGGACUCCAUGUAUCUCUCGUGGUUUAUGUCGGUUUUAGGAUCUCCCAGUAUGUGUGUGUUUCCUUGUCUCUAUGGUGAACGGUGAAGUGAUUUGAAAGUGGAAUUGUGAAAGUUAUUCUUUCGAAUGAUUUAAAGGAUGUUUACAUUAUGAGAAUUGAUAUUCUUGAUGAACUGAAAGUGAUUGACAAAUUAUAUGAUGACUCACAUGCGUUAUUAUACUUAUUUCAUUCCCUCAUGAUUAUGAUGAUUUUCUUCAGGCUAUGUGAGUCUUUCCAAAAUGGAUAAUAUUUCCAACUAUAUGUGGAUCAUCCAAAACGGACACCCGAGCGACGAGUUAUGAAUAUUCCGAUAGAACCGUGAAUAGUAGUGAACAGUAAAACAUGCAGGAAAAAGUACUGAGGCUGGCAUAUUUUUGCUACAACUUUAAAUGAUCAUAACUCCUUGUACAUAAGGAUAUGGGUGAUCUACUAUAUAUAAAUGGAAAUCUCUGUGAUUCCUCUUUCCGAUGAAAUUGGUUUCAUCCAAUUUGUCUAUCGGAGCAAAAAGUUAUGGUCGAUCUACUUCAGACUAUCAAAAGCAAAUUUUUCGGUCAACUUCAAAAGAUCAUAAAUCCUCGUACACAAUGAUAUGGGUGAGAUUCUAUAUAUCAACAGAAAUAUAUGAGAGUCCUCUUUCUAAUGAAAUUAGUUUCAUUCAAUUUGGAUAUCGGAGUAAAACGUUAUAGUUGAUCUACUUCAGACUAUCAAAACAGUCCACCAAAGGACAGAUUCGAGAAUUAUUUGAUUUUUUAGAAGAGUUUUGGUCAUUCCCCCUCACCAAAAAUCUGUCCAAACCCUAUAUUAAAGCCUAUUAGAAGCAUUAUAUGUUAUAUUUCAUAAAAUUCCCUCAAAAAGAAAAACCCUAAGCUCCUACAUCCAUCUUCAAGAACCUCCAAAGUUCACCAUUAAUUCUGCAAAUUUAUUAAAGAUUCCAAGUUCCUAGUUCAAGAACUUCAAGAACCACCAAAGUUCACCAUUAAUUCUGCAAAUUUAUUCAAGAUUACAAGUUCCUAAUUCAAGAACUCCAAGAACCAUCAUUCAAAGGCACUAUUAACAUCUCAAAAACGAGUAUAGAUCUAAUGUUCAUCAUUCAAGGUAUGUGGGGUUUUUCAACAAGAACCCUCUUUCUUUCUUGUGCCCAAAAGUAAUUUUAUUUACAAAGGCAUGAUUUUUAUUUGAUUUUUUACGAAUUUGACAUGAACUCAUAUCUUAUGAUGAUUAUUAUGAAAUUUUUAUGUUUAUUAUUUUAAAAGAUGAAUUUACAUGUGUGGAGAUAUAAAACAUGAAUCUUGAACGAUAUUUAUCAUGAUUUUGAUAUUUGGGUCGUGAAUCCCCACUGGAAAUUGUGUUUUUUGAGAAAGUGUGUGUUAUAAGCACGUUGAUGUUGAAUAUUUGAGAUAUUCAGAAUUAUUUGACCUUGUGAUCUUAAUGGAGUUGUUUUGAACUCGAGUGUGAAAGAAAUCCACAACGUUGUUGAUUUUGAUAGAUGGGAAGCAUGAUGGCUCCCAAUAUAUAUUUAUAUAAUACUGAAAUUGUUUUGUUGUGGAUUGUCUUUGAAAUGAUCUGAGCUAAGUCUGGGAGAAAUCUUUAGCACCGAGUGGGAGGUAUAAAGCGACCUUACUUCCCUAGAAAUAUGUUCCCUCGUAGGAGUGAGCCUGAGGUUGAUUUAUAUAGUGAUCUCUAGUUUGUGUGGAUUUGAUAUAGAUAGUCCUACUCCGAUGCCAAGGAUAGGACGGCUCUCCCCAACGUGGGUUGUAUGUUGGACUCCAUGUAGCUCUCAUGGUUUAUGUCAGUUAUAGGAUCUCCCAAUAUGUGUAUGUUUCCUUGUGUCUAUGAUGAACGGUGAAGUUAUUUGAAAGUGGAAUUGUGAAAGUUAUUCUUUCAAAAGAAUUAAAUGAUAUUUACGUUAUGAGAAUUGAUAUUCUUGAUGAACUGAAAGUGAUUGACAAAUUAUAUGAUGACUCACAUGUUUUAUUAUACUUAUUUCAUUCUCUCAUGAUUAUGAUGAUUUUCUUCAGGCUAUCUGAGUCUUUCAUACAUCCUGCAUAUUCCUUAUAUUUAUUUAUGAUGAUGAUGUUUAUACAACUGUACCCACCCCCAUAUACUCGGUUUCUUUCCAUGGUACUGACCCACAUCUUCGAAAGUGGGUUGUAUUUUCUCAGAAUGUAGGUUCCAGUGCUCAGUUCUAGGAUCGAUAGUGAUUUUUCGGGCAUGUUGUUCUACAUCCUCUUUUAUGGUGAGUCCUCAUGUUCGGAGGAUGUAAUGUCUGAUGUUGGUUUCACAGAAUUAUUUACAUUUGAUAACUGAGUAUGAGCCAUUUGGGGCAUGUCUUAAUGGCUCGCUGGUUUUAUUGAUUUUCGUAGAGGCUCUUCAGACUAGUAUAGAUGUUGGGAGUUGACUAAUAAGUCGUAUUUUGUUAUCUUUCUGAAAUUAUUUUAUUCUUGGAUGAUGAUUACUCUGUUGAUAUGUGAGGGUUAUUUAUGGAAACCCUGUUUAUUUGUGUUGAACUGAAUGAAAAUGGCUCAAAGGGUUAGAUUGGGGCUACUCGUAGCCUCAAGAACCGUGUCACGCUUCAGGACCCAUUUUUCGAGGCAUUACAAACUUGGUAUCAGAGCCUAAGGUUUUAAGGUGUCUUAGGGAUUCUGAAAAGCCACGUUAAUUAGAGUCUUGAUCAUCGGUGUGUAGCGCACAACAUCUAUGAGCAAGAGACGUUUAGGAAAAAGUGUGAUUUUUUUCUUUAAGAAGUUUCUCUCUCUGCUAUUAAUUCGUGCUCUCCUCUUUUAGAAAUAUGCCUCCACAUCGAGCGAGAAGAAAUAAUGAUGGUCAGCAACCUCAACCCGCUCACCCAUUGAAUGAAAACAUGUCUCAUGCUGAAUUUUGGGCAGCCUUUCAGGCGCUGGCCCAAGCUGUUACUACAAAUGUUUAGGCCAACCCGGCCCCGGCUCCACAGCUGCAAGGAGGUGAUUCAGCUGCUGCCAGGAUCCAUCACUUCAUACGGAUGAAUUCGCCGAAAUUUUAUGGGUUCAAGUCUGAUAAGGAUCUAUGGUCUUUUUUAGAGGAAGUGCGGAAGAUUACUCAGGUGAUGUAUGUAUCUGAGGAACAUAGUGUGGAGUUGGCUGCGUAUAGGUUGAAAGACCUUGCUUAUGACUAGGUUGUUGCUUGGUGGAAAGGUAGAGGUGAGGGAGCUGUCCCUAUAACUUGGCAAGAGUUCCAGGAUGUAUUCCUGGAUAAGUUUUUCCCUUUGGAUGAGGGAGGCAAAGGUGGAAGAGUUUAUGAACCUGUGACAGGGCUCUAUGACUGUUAGGGAGUACUGUCUAAAGUUCAAUCAGUUUGCCAAGUAUGCUCCUGACUUUGUGGCUAAUAAUCGGGCUAGUAUGAGUAAGUUUGUGACUGGAGUGUCUACUUAUGUGGUUAAGGAGUGUAGGUCUGCUAUGCUGAAUAGUGAGAUGAAUCUUUCUAAGAUGAUGAAUCAUGCCCAACAGAUUAAGGCAGACAAGAUUAAGGAGACAGAUAGAAUUAGAGGGAAUAAGAGAGCUAGGUCCGAGCAGCACGGACAGGGUCAGACUAUAACUCAGGGAGGGAGUUACCCUCAGUAUUAGGAUUGUUCAUCUAUGUCAGCAUCAUCAUCUGCUAGUGCUCCCAUGCCUAGAGGUAGGCAGGAGCAAGGUAGCAGGUCAUAUGCAUCAAGGUCCCAGUACAAUGCUGGCAGUAAGCCAAAUGGUCCCUUGUGUCCUAAUUGUGGUAGGGCUCAUUUGGGUGAGUGUUGGGGUGAGAAGAGAGGUUGUUUCUGGUGUGGUGACAUGGGUCACAAAGUUAGAAAUUGUCCACAGCAUGUCCCAACAGUCACAACAAUAACAGGAAAGCAAAACCCAAUUAACAACACAUUAGACCAUUAUAGAUAUAAAUUACAUAAUAUCUACCAUAGAUUCUUCAAUACAAAAAACAAAAGUACAACACAUGCCUGAAAAAUCUUUAAACACACCAAAUUUUGGUCACUUAAUGUAAUACCCCGGGAAAUUUUUCAUUGAAAUUUUGUGCGUAAACGUGUUGGGUUCUAUCUUCUAGAAUAAAUUAUAAAUUUUCCGUGAAGAAUGUCUAAGAUUAUGACCCACCAUUGUGUAGAGUAUCGAAUAAUCUUUCCAACUAUAUGUGGAUCAUCCAAAACGGACACCCGAGUGACGAGUUAUGAAUAUUCCGAUCGAACCGUGAAUAGUAGUGAACAGUAAAACAUGCAGGAAAUAGUACUGAGGCCUGGCGUAUUUUUGCUACAACUUUAAAGGAUCAUAACUCCUUGUACAUAAUGAUAUGGGUGAUCUACUAUAUAUCAAUGGAAAGCUCUGUGAUUCCUCUUUCCGAUGAAAUUGGUUUCAUCUAAUUUGUCUAUCGAAGCAAAAAGUUAUGGUUGAUCUACUUCAGCCUAUCAAAAGCAAAUUUUCGGUCAACUUCAAAAGAUCAUAAAUCAUCGUACACAGUUAUAUGGGUGAGAUACUGUAUAUCAAUAGAAAUAUAUGAGAGUCCUCUUUCUAAUGAAAUUGGUUUCAUUCAAUUUGGAUAUCAGAGUAAAACGUUAUAGUUGAUCUACUUCAGACUAUCAAAACAGUCCAUCAAAGGACAGAUUCGAGAAUUAUUUGAUUUUUUAGGAGAGUUUUGGUCACUACCCCUCUCCCAAAAUCUGUCCAAACCCUAUAUUAAAGCCUAUUAGAAGCAUUAUAUGUUAUAUUUCAUAAAAUUCCCUCAAAAAGAAAAACCCUAAGCUCCUACAUCCAACUUCAAGAACCUCCAAAGUUCACCAUUAAUUCUGCAAAUUUAUUCAAGAUUNNNNNNNNNNNNNNNNNNNNNNNNNNNNNNNNNNNNNNNNNNNNNNNNNNNNNNNNNNNNNNNNNNNNNNNNNNNNNNNNNNNNNNNNNNNNNNNNNNNNNNNNNNNNNNNNNNNNNNNNNNNNNNNNNNNNNNNNNNNNNNNNNNNNNNNNNNNNNNNNNNNNNNNNNNNNNNNNNNNNNNNNNNNNNNNNNNNNNNNNNNNNNNNNNNNNNNNNNNNNNNNNNNNNNNNNNNNNNNNNNNNNNNNNNNNNNNNNNNNNNNNNNNNNNNNNNNNNNNNNNNNNNNNNNNNNNNNNNNNNNNNNNNNNNNNNNNNNNNNNNNNNNNNNNNNNNNNNNNNNNNNNNNNNNNNNNNNNNNNNNNNNNNNNNNNNNNNNNNNNNNNNNNNNNNNNNNNNNNNNNNNNNNNNNNNNNNNNNNNNNNNNNNNNNNNNNNNNNNNNNNNNNNNNNNNNNNNNNNNNNNNNNNNNNNNNNNNNCUCCCGUAAGAGUGAGCCUGAGGCUGAUUUAUAUAGUGAUCACUAGUUUGUGUGGAUUUGAUAUCGAUAGUCCUACUCCGAUGGCAAGGAUAGGACGGAUCUCCCCAACGUGGGUUGUACGUUGGACUCCAUGUAGCUCUCAUGGUUUAUGAAGGUUAUAGAAUCUCCCAGUAUGUGUAUGUUUCCUUGUGUCUAUGAUGAACGGUGAAGUGAUUUGAAAGUUGAAUUGUGAAAGUUAUUCUUUCGAAAGAUUUAAAUGAUAUUUACAUUAUGAUAAUUGAUAUUCUUGAUGAACUGAAAGUGAUUCACAAAUUAUAUGAUGACUCACAUGUGUUAUUAUACUUAUUUCAUCCUCUCAUGAUUAUGAUGAUUUUCUUCGGGCUAUGUGAGUUAUUCAUACAUCCUGCAUAUUUCUUAUAAAUAUUUAUGAUGAUGAUGUUUAUAAAACUGCAUACACCCCCAUAUACUCGGUUCCUUUCCAUGGUACUGACCCACAUCUUCGGAUGUGGGCUGCAUUUUCUCAAAAUGUAGGUUCAGGUGCUCAGUUCCAGGUUCGACAAUGAUUCUUCGGGCACGCUGUUCUACAUCCUCUGUAGUGGUGAGUCCUGAUGUUGGUUUCACGGAAUCGAUUACAUUUGGUAACUGAGUAUGAGUCAGUUGAGGCAUGUCUCAAUUGCUCGCUGGUUUUAUUGAUUUUCUUAUAGGCUUGUUAGACUAGUAUAGAUGUUGGGAGUUGACAAAUAAGUCGUAUUUUGUUAUCUUUCUGAAAUUCUUUUAUUCUCAGAUGAUGAUUACUCUGUUUAUAUGUGAGGGUUAUUUAUGAAAACCCUGUUGAUUUGUGUUGAACUGAAUGAAAAUGACUCAGAGCGUUAGCUUGGGGCUACUUAUAUCCUCAAGUACCGUGUGACGCUCCGAGACCCUUUUUCGGGGUGUUACAUUUAACCAUGUCGUUCCAACUUAUAAUGAUUAUUUUCAGCUACAUGAAGAUCAGAUCUUAUUUGCAUGUUCAAAUCAAAAAUGAAUAAAAAUAACUAUGGAAGAAAAGGGCUUAUUGAAUAUUGCUAAGACCAAAAUAACAGGUUAGAUUCAAUCUAUAUUUUAAUCAAAAAAUUUUGUUCCAUUCUAUAUGUUAUCAGCUUAGAUGCAUCAGAUCUCCAAUUUCACUUGCAUGUACUAAUUAAAGAGGAAAAGAAUAUCUUGCAAUGAUAAGAGAGCAUACCAAAUAUUAUAAAGACCAUGAAAUCUGACGUAAAAGAAGAUUAUUUUCCAACAUCUACUAUAAAUUCAACAACAUAAACCAUAUAUUUCAAUUGCAUGCUGAAAUUAAAAUUGAAAAAAAUCACAAAAACAGCAGAAUUUGCCAGACUUUACAGAGACCAUACAUCAGUUACUAACGAAUGACUGCAGUUUAUUUUUCGACAUCUACAACGAAUCAACAACUAAUAAACCAUAGAUUUCACUUAAAUGUUCAAAUCUAGAAAGAUCAACUUAACAGGAGAACUUACCAUACGUUACGAAGUCUGCAAUCAGAUACCAAACAACAGAAAUGGUGAUUAUUUUCACAGAUCUAUAGAAACUGAACAAUAAAAAGCUUGGAUUAUUUCAAAGAACCAAAAUAAACAAUUCGGAAUACUUCGAUAUAACUAAGAAGAAAGAAAAUUCUUAGACCUUUCAGCUACCAUUUUUUGUUCCAAAUGAGUAAAUAAUAACAUAUUUGCUAAAAAUUAUCUUACAAUAUGGAGUUUCCAAUUUGUGAUGAAAGUAAAAAAGAAACGUUUCGGACAAAAAGAAAUGCUGACAAGGUACUUUCCCAAAUCUAUAAAAAUCUAUAUGAAUAUAAUCUUUUUUUUAAUAUAUUUUGUUCUUUGUACUGGAUUUUUUUAUAAAUUUUAUAAUUGUGUAUGGCCUGGCCUUUAUAUUUUACUUUAAUCAAUUUAACUCAUUUAUAACAUUUCUUAAAGAAGAAAAAACAUUUAAUAUAUUAUUUCUUUUAACAAAAUAAUAAUAUGCAAGCACUCACGUAUAAAUCUUUAUUAUUUAAUCUAUUUUUUUAGAUUUAUAAUUCUUUAAUCUUUUCAUAUAUUUUUUUUUCUCAUUUUAUUAAUCAUAAAAUUAUAAAAAUAUAUAUCAUUACAUUCAAUAAGAAAAUACUAAAAUUUAUAAAUAACUAAUGUAAGAAUAAUUUACUAUUAAUUAAAAAUAAAUAAUUGUCAAUGAACAUAGAAAUGUUAAAUAUUAAUUUCUUACGUUAAAUAUAUGCAUAUUUAUGUCAUUAUUAUAAAUAAUUUUAUUCAUUUAUGCCACUCCUUUUAAAAAAUACUUCAUUUUUUACCAUUCUAUUUAAUGGUAUUUUUAAUUUCCUAAAUUCCUACAAAAAAAUUGAAUAAGAAUUUAAUGACUAUUUAAAUGUCAAAUCAUUUCAAAUCCAGAUUUUAAUUACAUCCAUUCCCCCAUUUUUCUAAAUCAAAUAACAAUUUCUUAAUGGCUUACAAAUAAUUUAAUUCUAUUAUACUAAAAAUAAAUGAACAAUUACUUUUAAAAAUAAAAGGUCAUUGAAAUCUAUAAUUAUUUAAAAUGCUACACUAUUUUUUCGUGCAUCUCGUGGGUAAUAUACUAGUAUUAUUAAUAAGAGAGGAUGCAGCCUCCUCAAUAAGCCAAGUGGAAUUCUCUGAAUUGGCCAUUUGGAAAGGUUAUUGCAUGUCUGGUGCUAAUAUAUCAACUUACAUCCAAAUGUUGGUGUUUUUUGCUUUCAAUUGCAGCCAUGUAAUCUCCUCUUUCGUAAAUGGUCACCUCUAUGUAUUGUUAACUAACUAUUGUGGUGAUAACCUUUUCAAAAUAGUUCAUCUCAGUUAAUGUUCAAAAUAAAAUAUUCUCUAAAGGUUUUAUUAUGGAGAAUCAUUUUUUCUAAUAUGGUCGGAAAGUCUAUCUGCAUUUGGUCAUGGCUUAGAAAUUGGAGUUGAUGCAUAGAAAAAUAGAUUGUGUGAUGUGAGUACAAAAAGAGGAAGUGGAUCCAACUUGCAUAUAUUGAUGAACAACCAACUACACAUUCUAAUGAAUUUGAGGACAAGAUGGAGUUGGAAAGCAUCUGCAAUCCACUUAUUCUAUAGUAAGUAUGUGUCAAGAUGGAGUUGUAAAGCAUCCAGUACAAUCGAUUCCUUCAAUAUUUGGUAUAUAUCAAUGAGGAGAAUUUCUAUUAUUUUAAUCUAACUUUUAUUAGAGUUGAUAAAAUGCAUGUUAAAUUUGUAGUAUUGUAUUUGGUCUGUUAUCUCUGUUAUUUAAAACAAUGAUUCUAUCAUUCCAGAAAGUUCAAUACAACUACAAAUACCUCUUCCAACAAAAUUCUAAAAAUUAUCUUCCACUCACAAUUUAAUUUUUAGUUGUGAAGAGAGGCAAGGGAUUAGUUCAUUGGUGGUCUAGCUAUACAUCGGAACAGGGGCCUAUGAGAAACCUAUCAUGUCUGACGUAUCAAUAUUCUCCCCUUUGCAAAUUGCUUUAUCCUCUCAUAUCAAGUUCCUUCUAUGCAUGGUUGUCUUUUUCACCUUUAGGUAUACUAUUAAACUAGAGAAGCACAACCUCACUGGGAAAAAUUGUCUUUAGUAAAUAAACACCAACCUCCAGGGUCUUUAGGCUUACAAAAAAUUUGCUAUGAGAUGUUACUAUUAUGAUACUAUGAUAGUAUACAAAGUCUUAAUUCAUGUCUUUUUUCGUCUUUCAUUUAUGGGACAAGGUUGAUCUAAAGAAAUCAAAAAUAGCAUAUCAGUAAGCUAUAUUGCCUCAAAACCAAAGUCUAAAUUAUAUGAUAGUUGGUGAAGAUUUAGCUUUCUUACGGGAAGGAGAAUUAGAAAUAAUGUAAAUUAAGGUAAGCUUCUCACAUUUUUGGACAUGUAAGUAUGAAGGUUCUUUGAGUAUAAAAGGAGAAAUGACAAGAGGAAGAGGCCUGAAGGCAACUAAGUAUGAUAGUUUUCUUGGAAAUUGUUUAUUAUGCUGCUUUCUUGUAUUCAUGGAAAUAUAUCAAUGUUGCAUAGUUAGUUGAUUAAUGGACAUUAUUAUGCUAACUUUGUCAUUAACUUUACGACAUAUUGUUUGGCUGCUGGAGGAGUCAGUUUGACAACAUGUUUUAGCACUCUUUUUGGAGCCUGUUCAGGAUGAUUCUGUGUUAAACGAUGCGGGUGAAAAGGCCGCAUCAGCUCCUCCAAAUAUCCUAGAUGAGGAAUUCGGAUAAUUUAAUAUGAAAAUUUUAUUUUUGUAGCAUCUGAACUGAACUCUGAAGACAAUUUUUUUUUUUUGUCAUCUAAUUGCAUUACUCUCUUAAGUGAAGCUCUAAGUAGAAGUAGCAUAUGCAUUAUUGUGUUGAACAUCCUGAGGAAAUCAUCAAACUCACCAAGGUGAAAGUCCAGAUUUCAAAAGUUAAGGCUGUUAUUGAUGUAAAACAUCGAGACUGUAAAAUAUCUCUAAUAAUUAUAUACCUUUAUAUGUGGUAGAUGGUUUAACAGUUUACAUGAAAGCUUGACAUAGUCUUCUUUUAUUAUGUAAUAACGACAUAAUAUAAUUCAAGAAAAAAUAAUGCAUGAUAGCACAUAAGAUUUAUUUGGAUUUUGGAAAGAUUCCUUACAGUUAAGAGACAUCAAGAAAAAUAGUUAUAAUAUGACUAUUACAAAUAAGGUCGAUAUUGUUAUUAAAAUCUCACGUAUUAUUUUGUUAAUGAUGGUUGAUUGCGAUGAUCAAUCAUAAAUGAUAGAUAGUGAUGGUGACGACUCGAUUUGCUGAUUGACAUAGUGAUGGUUGAGUAUGGUGCUUAUUAGUAGUAGGAUCUAUUAGUCAUAAAUGGUGAUCAGCUAAAGUUGUAAUUGUUGCUGAAAAGAGCCGAGCCGGCUCAGAGCUCGGCUCGACUCAGCUUGUUUCUCCAUAAUGGGAAUCAAUUUAGAUUGAGAUUAUCAGUAUAUAUUCAGAUUAUCAUUAUGUCAUGAGUUGCAACUAUGUAUGAGCAUAACUCUUUUCCAUAGUUGGGAAUAUACUCUAUAUUGCCCUAUUCAUUUUUUAAGUGAUCCUAAUGGAGCUUAGCUUGCAUGCACCCCAACUAAUUCACUGAGCAACUUGUCCAUCCCACAAAGGGAAUUUCUUAAGCUCAUACGCAAAAGUCUAACUUGGCCAUACCAUAUAUUGUCAAGUAGGGGUGGGAGUUCGGUUCGGUAUUUUUAAAGCUCGGGUUUGAUAAUUCAGUAAUCGAUAUUUGAGAGUAGAUACACAUACCAUACUUAUAAACAUCAAUUCGAUAAUUCAGUAAUCGGUAAAUUAAAUUCUGGUUCAAUAUGGUAUUUGGUUAGGCGUAUCAUAUUAUAUAUAUAUAUAAAAUUUGGUAUUCGAUAAAUAUUGAAUACCAAACGGUAUUUAAUAUUUUGUAACAAACCCAAUCUUGAAUACCGAAAUGUUGAAAUUUUACUCUCAAAUACCAACUGAAUUACCGAAUAUCAAUUACCAAAUUUUUCGAUUCGGUUUGAUAAUUCAGUUCUCGGUGUUUUACACCCAGCCCUAUUGACAAGGUAUGCUGUCUAUCAAGGCUAGCCAGAUGGGUGUACCUGGUUUUGUAUCUUGGAUUCAAACCUAGAAUCUCCAAGUUUUACUCCUAUCUUAACCACUACUCCAUCCCCUUGGGGAACCAACAUUAUGUUAUAAACUAAAAAGUGUUGUAGAUGUUUCCUUACUAAUCAAUAGGAAAAAGACCAGUGGAGUUCAUAAAAGAAAAGUCCGCCAUAAAAGAAAAGAUUAAUCAGUCAGCUGACUACUAGCAAAGAUGAGCCAUCCAAAAAGCUACCAUGCAAGGACAGAUAUGAGCUGAAAUUUGAACUCUUUUGGAGUUUAAUUUACCUCGUGUUAACUUAUGUUAGUAAUUAAGGUGCAUGAUGAAGGCUACUUACUUCCAGGAAGGAUCUAGAGCAGGAUCAUAAGGGUGUGUCAUGGGUAUCAUUCGACUCUCAUUCACAGCAUUGUGACUCCUACGCUCCAGAAUGAUAGAAUAGAACCAUCAGGACAUAAAAAGAAGGCUACAUAAAUUGGAUUGAAGCACAGUAAGUAAAUAAAUUUUUCUAUGUAAGCUUUUCAGAUAUUGAUGGUGUAACAGAAAACAUUUUGAAAGAUAAUAGAAACUCUAGACAUAUCAUUGUUAUAUUUCUUAAAAAAAAUUAAUUAGAGCAUGAUAGAAGAUGAAAUUUCAGAUGAACAAAGAUAUAAGAAGAGGACAGAUCAAAACAAGCAAUGAAUCUUAGGAGAUGUUGGCGAACACUUACAUUUAGAUGAUUGAUGGACAUAACUCCAGAGGAGCUAGUAGUUUUCAUCCACUUGGUGCCUGAUGAUAGACCAAGAGAUUAUUCAAUAGGUCGGUAUCUUGUUUUCCCAGUCUGUACCUCCUUUUCCCUGCUAAUAGAAUGGCCACCAAGAAACUUACCACAUUAAUUUGGUGGCAUGAAACUCUGAAAAACCUUUGUAGGAGCAUGUAAUUUGGAUCCAGAACACUCAUUUUCUAGUCCACGUGAUGAAGACAUUACUUGCUUGCCCUUAUCACAUUCUUCACGGCAACAAUCCUCUUGAGCAUCUUCGCAAUAACCCUGUGUGCGAUAU
This 15022-nucleotide long non-coding RNA is filed under the name Capsicum annuum. RNAcentral's name for it is "long non-coding RNA (CANN_LNC004054)". The record is from RNAcentral. Lineage: Eukaryota; Viridiplantae; Streptophyta; Magnoliopsida; Solanales; Solanaceae.